GCGGAGCGAGACCUUCCGGAGCUGAGCGGGAGGCGGCUGCUGAUGUGUUCUGUCUCCUGCAAGCAGGUCUGGCAGGGCACAGCAUGAUUGAAGAGGACUGGAAUGCGGAGAUGGGGGACGAGACGUUGCUCCCAUCCCUUGAGAAGGUUAGCUUGUUUGAAAGACCAAAUGACCUCUCAUCUGGCUUCAGUCCGAGUGUAAGCUCAUUCGGUACUGAUGAAUUUUUGAACAGACAGUGUCAACCAAUGAGUAGUUUCGGUAGAGGAAGGAAUUUUGAAGCCAAAGGUUUUCAAGAAAGAAACAUAGGAGAUGCUAGUAUGCAAUAUAGAGGGUCUAAAGGAUUCCGUGGUGGCUUUGGACAAGGUUUUCCAGGAAGAAAUGCUGCAGAAGGUUCUAGUACGCAUACAAAAAAUAAAGGGUUUAAAGGAUUUCAUGGUGACUUUGGACAAUGUGAGAAUGGGCAGAGGAACAUGUCUCAGUCUGGAAUUCUUGACUCUACAGGAAAAGGAACAUUUACAGAUGGUGCAGGUUUUCAAGAAAGAAACGUUGUAAAAGGUUUUAGUACACGAAAUAGAGGGUCCAAAGGAUUUCAUGACGGCUUUGGACAAGGUAUUAAUAAUGGGCGAAGGGUCAUACCUCAGUCUGGAACUCUUGGCUCUAGAGAAAAAGGGACAUUUACAGAUGGUGCAGGUCCGAAGGUGACGUAUGUUCCCCCUCCUCCACCUGAUGAUGAACAAGCGAUCUUUGCACGUUAUGAGACAGGAAUGAAUUUUGACAAGUAUGAUGAAAAUAUCGUCGAAGUGUCAGGACUGGACCCUCCAGCAGCAUUAAUGAGCUUUGCAGAGGCUAACAUAUCCCAUACUUUAGCUGUGAACAUUGCUAAAGCUGGAUACUCUAAACCUACUCCAGUGCAGAAGUACAGUAUUCCUAUUGUACUGGCAGGACGGGAUUUAAUGGCAUGUGCCCAGACAGGAUCAGGAAAAACUGCAGCUUUUCUUGUACCAAUUGUGGCCCAAAUGAUGAGAGAUGGUGUAACUGCCAGUAGCUUUAAACAGCAGCAAGAACCAGAAUGUAUUAUUACUGGCCCAACUAGAGAACUAGUAAAUCAGAUCUUCCUAGAAGCAAGGAAAUUUGUGUAUGGAACUUGUAUAAGGCCUGUUGUGGUCUAUGGAGGUACACAGAUAGGCCAUUCAAUUCAUCAGGUUAUGCAAGGCUGUAAUAUACUAUGUGCCACUCCAGGAAGGCUUCUAGACAUCAUUGGAAGAGGAAAGAUUAGUUUGCGUAAUGUGAAAUAUUUGGUGCUAGAUGAAGCAGACCGCAUGCUUGAUAUGGGUUUUGGCUCAGAGAUGAAGAAGCUGAUUUCUUUCCCAGACAUGCCACAAAAAGACAAACGCCAGACACUAAUGUUUAGUGCUACAUUCCCUGAAGAAGUUCAGAGGCUGGCUGGUGAAUUUUUGAAAACUGAUUUUUUGUUUGUUGUUGUCGGACAUGUGGGUGGAGCAUGCAGCGAUGUUCAGCAAAAUAUUCUUCAGGUUUCUCAGUAUCUCAAGAGAGAUAAACUGAUGGAAAUUCUACACAGCAUAGGUAAUGAGCGAACCAUGGUGUUUGUGGACACAAAGAAAAAAGCAGACUUCAUUGCGUGCUUUCUUUGUCAAGAAAAUAUACCAGCCACUAGCAUCCAUGGAGAUAGAGAGCAGAGAGAGAGAGAAAUAGCCCUUCAGGAUUUUCGUUCUGGAAAAUGUCCAGUUCUCGUGGCAACCUCAGUGGCAGCAAGAGGUCUGGACAUCGAAAGCGUUCAGCAUGUUAUUAAUUUUGAUCUUCCUUCCACCAUUGAGGAGUAUGUACACAGAAUUGGACGAACUGGCCGUUGUGGAAAUACAGGGAAAGCAGUUUGCUUCUUUGAUAACGAUUCGGAUGGCCAUCUUGCACAGUCUCUAAUUAAAGUGCUUUCAGACGCCCAGCAGGAAGUUCCUCUUUGGUUGACAGAAGUUGCUUUUGAGUUUGAAAGAGGAAGACUCUCAGUUAAUGUCCAAAAGAACACGUUUCUCUGGUCAAAAGUUAGUGUGGGAUUUCAAGGGCCUCUGCUUCAUGUGGCUCCUACAGACCUAUCUCAUUUUAUGCCUGUAGUUACUGAGAAGGAAAUGUUCAGCUCUUUGAUUUGGAUGUUCGUCCUGCUCUGCAGCUCUGUAGCAGAUGAAAACUCUAUCAGAGAUGCUGACAUUUUUCCUUCAUCUGCUGAAAUUAAAAGAGGAUCCUCCCUGAAACAAUUUUGUAUUCUUGGAAAACACCACAUGCCUCACAGAAAUGCAAGCCACAUCAUCUGGAAAUUGAAUGAUGAAUUGAUUGCUCCAGAGAAUUAUAACAUUGUGAAUGAGACUGUAUCUAGUAUAACCAUCCCUAAUUUCACCUACAGAACAGCUUAUCUGAAAUGUUUCAUGAAGUACUUGGACAAGGAGCAGCUUCUGGUUCACAAAGAAGUUAAAUCUGGCUUUCCUCCAGACACUCCGGGAAAUAUUUCCUGCAUUUAUUACUUUGAUGAUAACCUUACCUGUACCUGGAAUUCAGGAAGAAAAACAAGUUUUACAAGAAACUAUACUCUUUACCGAAAACUGGCGACUAAUCCAAAUACUAUAGUCAGCUCCUGCCAGAGUAAAACAGAGUCAUGUUCAUUUCUAUAUCCAGAUACUCCGUAUAGUAGUGCUUUUUGUUUUCAGGUGAAAGCUGAAAAUGUUUUGGGUGAAGCCUUAUCGAAGUGUGUUCCUAUAGCUAUGGGAAAAAUAGAGAAAUUUGACCCUCCUGAAAUACUUUUAGUUAAAACAAUCAGCGGUAUAAAGCAGUUACUUACAGUAACCUGGAAAAUGCCUGAGAAGAUUGUCCCUUCAAAAGAUUUAACUUGCCAGGUUCAAUACAGAAACUUGUAUUCAAACUCUACAAAAUAUGUCACUGUCCCACUGAAUUCUGCAGAGAAAACAGGAUCAUGUAAUCUCACAGGUCUGUGGGACUCCACAGAAUAUUCUGUUGCUGUUCGGUGUAUCAGUAAUGAAUCAAUAUUUUGGAGUGAAUGGAGUGGAGAGAAAAGUGGAAGCACGAAAGAGAAAGCUCCUUCAGAAAAAGUGGAUUUGUGGAGGGUAAUUGAGUCUUCACACUCACCCGGAAGUAGGUCUGUACAUCUCAUGUGGAAGCCAUUAAAUAGCUUUCCACCUUCUGGGAGAAUUCUAGGCUACAAAAUACAGUAUUUUCCAGAAAACAAGACUGCACUUAAAAUGAUAAACAACUCUACUGACAAGAAAAUCACUUUACUUUUAAAUGAAGAGGCAUAUAUAGUAUCUGUUACUGCCUAUAACUCUGCUGGAAAUUCUCCUGAAGCUAUUUUGAGGAUUCCAUCCACAGACGAAAAAACUGCUCAGAUUACUGGAACAGCGAGGACCUUACCAUCAAAUGAAGAAGUGGUUGUGGAAUGGGCAGUCUCUAAACCAGAAGCAACAGAAUAUGUAGUUGAGUGGUUUGAGGACUUGGAGAUGGAUCCUUUUAGUAGAUCGUGGCAAUAUGUGUCGAAUUCUACAAACUGGAAAACUAACAAAAAAAACUUUAAACCAUUUGUAUGCUAUAACAUCUCAGUGUAUCCUCUUUAUGGAAAUAAAGUAGCAGCUCCAUAUACCGUACAAACUUAUGUUCAACAAAAAAAACCAUCAGAAGGACCUGUGGCUGAGACAGGCAUUCCAGGAAAAAAUGAAGUUACAAUACAAUGGAAUGAGAUUUCAAAGGAUAAAAGAAAUGGAUUUAUCACUAACUAUACAAUAUUUUAUAAACCUGAAGAUGGAAAAGAAUUGAAUGAAACAGUGAACUCUAAUGAUCGAAAAUACAGACUGAAGUCCUUACAGGCUAAUACACAGUAUACUGUCUAUAUCAUGGCAAGCAAUGAAGCUGGUGGAACCACCGGAGAGCCAAAGACCUUCAAAACUUUGAAACUGGAUAAAGAAGAUGUUAUUUUAAUUGCUGUGCUUGUUGGAAUAAGCGUGUUCUGUCUGUUAGGCCUUUGGGUAACAUGCAUUUUGAAAAAACAUGUGUUUAAGAAGGUUUGCUGGCCUGAUAUACCAAAUCCUGCAGAGAGCAUUGCAGUGGAAUGGCCUCUUGCUGCAUCUAUGAAUAAUUCACUUUUGAAGAAGUUGGCAUCUGAGGCUAAAACUGUAGACUUUGAAGACAUAAGUGUUUUGGAACAUUGUUUUCCUGAAGAAAACCAUGUUUCUGAAUGUACUGAUAUUAAUGCAGAAGACAUGAUCAGUGGAGAUAAAAAGAUACUGCAUAAACAAGAAAAUGAUGUUGCUAAAUGUUUUUUGCCAUCCAUGCCUUAUGUGAUCACUGAUCAAUUUACCAGAAGCCAAAUGAAGUCAACUUUGACACUAGUGAAGGAAAUCCAACCCAUGGAAAUGCUGGCAAAUGAUUUGUGUGGAUCCCAACAGAAUUCAAUCAAAAAUGAAGAAAAUGAUGAUGAAGUUUUAAAGGUGGAAGAUUUCAAUGAAAAAACACUGUUCAAUCCAUACCUUAAAAAUUCUGUUAAAACAAGGGAAUUUCUUAUUUCUGAGAGCUUGCCAGAGCACAGUAUGGAUGAAUGCAAAAGCCAGUCAAGUGUCUUACCUCCUUUUCAACAAAAUGUUGCAGGACAACCCUACAUAACACUGGACAUGUUCGAGCCGGCCACUGCUCAGUAGCGUGGGAAGAUUUUCCGUUGUAAAGUCGCCCUGUGAAAAAACUCUUGGCACUGCUGCUCAUGUGCAUUCCUAUGUUUUAACCUCUCUGGUCUCAGUUAAUUUGGAUGGAAACACCCUCUUCCUUCAAACAGCUGUGAAGUUAUUCUUUGCACCGUGUUUAUACAUUUCUCCCAUAAUCAGCCUGCUAAAACAAACUUGUAUUUGCUGCAAGAGGAUCCAGUAAUGCAAACAGCUCAUUGAUUUCUCCCCCAGGCGGCCAGUUCCCAGGGCUCAGCUCUACUGGGGAAACAUGGACUGACUUGAAUAGAGCCAGAAUCUGACGAAUCCUUACUUCAGUUACAUGAAAUAAAACUACCGACCUGUUCUUACUUUCCUUGAUUGUUUUAUAUAUGGUUUUAUGUAUAGUGUUCCUUUUGUAUCACAAAUACCUUGUAGAUUUCAGUAGUUGUUGUUUUGUAUCUUGACUCUUGAAUCAGUGGUUUGGUUUAUAUUUUCUUUGUCUUUAAUGAGAGUAUAUUUGUAUGUUAUCUGCAUUUUAGAAAAGAUACAGUUAUGCUGUCUAUGUAGCUCCUUUCCUUUCUCUCAUGUUUUUAGUCAUCCUCUGCAUUUUGUGCUGCUUUUGUCUCUUCUAAUUGUUUCCUGAUUUUAAAAACUAUUUACUGAAGGAUAACUUCUUAUCUUUUUAUUCCUUUGCCUCUGAUUUCUUGCAGUUUAAAUCUGUUUCUCUGAUAUUUUCAACUAAAAAAAAAAAACAACUAAGUAUGGCAUCUUGUGUUGGAAUAAGCACUAAGUUAGGAAGUUAUUUUUCUGAGAGUUAUGAAAAAAAACACUAAGUCUACAAAAUAUCGCCAUAUAUCCUCUGGUGGAUGAUUUAGGAUUAGGUAUUUCUACAUGAAGGCUAUAACUUUUGUAAUUUGUUUUAUGAUUUUGAUAAAUCGUAAAACUACUUGUGGUUUCCAUUUUAUAAAGCGACAAUUAAGCAGGAAACAAUCACACUAAUUUUUUUUUUUUGGCAGGAAAGAGGCCAUUACUGUAAAAUUCUUACUGAAAUAUUUACUCUGUUAAAUAACAGGUUGAAAAGGAUGGAGAGUCUAAGUAAAUUGGUCUUCAUUAUGACACAUGUGACAUAUGGUCAUUUUAAUACUUCAAAGUAUUUUUACAGUGUUUAAAGGCUUGUUGUCAUCAGUCUUGUUUGCACAUAACUACAGACUUUGUUUGGGAUAAAAAAAAAGAUACAGGAGUUAUGGGGAUAGAAAAACAGGGAACAGAUGUGAAUAGAAAUAGAAGGCCUUUCCUUUCUGUGCAGGAAGAGAAGUGGGAGAAUGGAAAAUAUAUUGUCUAGCAUGAAUGAGAAGACUGAGCCUUUCUCUGGAUGUAUUGGCUAUUGCACUAUUGCAUUGUGUUGUGGAAGACAGGGUAAAGUUUGCAUUCAGGAUUUUUGUCUAGAGUUUGGAAGUUGCUUUUACUUACAGUGAUGUUUGUAGUUUUCAAGGAAUGAUGAGAAGACAAUUUCUGCAAAUGUUCCUUGUUUAGCAUCACAGAUUUCCACCUCUCAUGUUUGUUGGGUCACUUUCUCAACUAUAGUGCUAUAAGCCAUACUGCAUGUAUGUUUGUCCUUAUAAGCCUUUGCUCACUUAGGUAGGUCAUGCUCUGAAAUUAGCGUGGGACACAGCCUUGGUUAGGUCAGUGCUGCUUCUGCUGUUUGGCUGACUUCCACGCUUCUCACUCAGAGCUACAUUGCUGGUUCCUAAGGUUCAGAACUCACUGACUCAAUCACAGAAUUUUUUUUCGCUUAAAUCUCAGUAUUGUUUUAAUAUCACAAGAUAUAAAAAUAAACAGAUGCAGAGACAUUUCAGAGCUGUCUAGGAAGUUUUAGCAACCAUAUGAAAGCUGCAUACUCUGUGUUGAGAUCGAGACAGGUAAAAAUUAAAAAUAAUCCAAUUUGUAACAUCUCUUAGCUUUUGGAGGCUAAGUAUAACCUGAUUUUCUGUCCCAUUUUAUUUCCUUCUCUAUUGAUAUUCUGAUUUUCUAUCCUCAUUUUUCUGUUUUCCUUGCCCAUUAUUUUCUCUGAAAAAGCAAAAUGCAAGUAACUGGGCUCAGUACAUUCCAGAAAUUAAGGCUGCAUUUUGCACAUGCUUUGAAAUGCCAACUUCUUGUACUUGGUUUGUUUUGCGUUGGGAAUUGUACUCUUUCUGUCCUUUUACAAUUUGUCCUUCAAACUAAUGCUGUGACCCAUUAAAAAAUAAAACUGA
RNA transcript from Pipra filicauda (Wire-tailed manakin), 6961 nucleotides. It is a transcript of the gene named DEAD-box helicase 4, with no coding region annotated. Lineage: Eukaryota; Metazoa; Chordata; Aves; Passeriformes; Pipridae. The transcript has 35 exons. The record is from RefSeq and is a predicted model, not a curated record.